CCUACGGGCGGCUGCAGUGGGGAAUAUUGGACAAUGGGCGAAAGCCUGAUCCAGCCAUGCCGCGUGUGUGAAGAAGGCCUUCGGGUUGUAAAGCACUUUCAGUGGGGAAGAAAGCCUUGGGGCUAAUACCCUCGAGGAAGGACAUCACCCACAGAAGAAGCACCGGCUAACUCCGUGCCAGCAGCCGCGGUAAUACGGAGGGUGCGAGCGUUAAUCGGAAUUACUGGGCGUAAAGCGCGCGUAGGCGGUCUGAUAAGCCGGUUGUGAAAGCCCCGGGCUCAACCUGGGAACGGCAUCCGGAACUGGCAGGCUAGAGGGCAGGAGAGGAAGGUAGAAUUCCCGGUGUAGCGGUGAAAUGCGUAGAGAGCGGGAGGAAUACCAGUGGCGAAGGCGGCCUUCUGGACUGACACUGACGCUGAGGUGCGAAAGCGUGGGUAGCAAACAGGAUUAGAUACCGGGGUAGUC
Molecule: ribosomal RNA, 465 nt
Filed under: Vreelandella stevensii
Lineage: Bacteria; Pseudomonadati; Pseudomonadota; Gammaproteobacteria; Oceanospirillales; Halomonadaceae
Description: partial 16S ribosomal RNA
Rfam family: Bacterial small subunit ribosomal RNA
Source: RNAcentral